Molecule: ribosomal RNA, 459 nt
Filed under: uncultured bacterium
Lineage: Bacteria
Description: partial 16S ribosomal RNA
Rfam family: Bacterial small subunit ribosomal RNA
Source: RNAcentral
CCUACGGGAGACAGCAGUGAGGAAUAUUGGUCAAUGGUCGGGAGACUGAACCAGCCAAGCCGCGUGAGGGAUGAAGGUACAGAGUAUCGUAAACCUCUUUUGUCAGGGAACAAAGGCGGGGACGUGUCCCCGGAUGAGUGUACCUGAAGAAAAAGCAUCGGCUAACUCCGUGCCAGCAGCCGCGGUAAUACGGAGGAUGCGAGCGUUAUCCGGAUUUAUUGGGUUAAAAGGGUGCGCAGGCGGUCUGUUAAGUCAGCGGUAAAAGCCCGGGGCUCAACCCCGGCCCGCCGUUGAAACUGGCAGUCUCGAGUUGGAGAGAAGUAUGCGGAAUGCGCGGUGUAGCGGUGAAAUGCAUAGAUAUCGCGCAGAACUCCGAUUGCGAAGGCAGCAUGCCGGCUCCACACUGACGCUGAGGCACGAAAGCGUGGGUAUCGAACAGGAUUAGAUACCCGAGUAGUC